CAGCCCUGCUCACCUUGAUGUUUUGUGGAUUCACCUACCGGUCACACAAUUAGUGUUCGGUUUCUCCUUACCUGCACGACAUGGUAAAUAAACGUUGAUUCAGUCGUGCGUCCUAACAAGCCGAGAUGCAGUUGUUCGUCUGAAGAAUGUCAGUGGUGAUUUGAUGAAGGAGAACUUUCUUUUAAGCUUCUUUCCAGGAGAAGCUGAAUCCUUCUGCCUCACAGGAAUUAAUGCCAGCUGACUUCUAAGACCCCACAACUCUUUGCUUAAAAUACCGAUGAAAAAUGCAACAGUAUCAGGACAUCGAGGUUUAAAAUUCUUUGGGGCUUGGCGUGAAAGUGUGUGCGAGUGUGUGCGAGUGUGUGUGUGUGUGUGUGAGUGUGUGUGUGUGUGUGUGUGUGUGCGCGAGUGUGUGUGUGUGUGCGAGUGUGUGUGUGUGUAAAGAGGAUAAAGGUUUCUCCAUUCAGGUCAUCGUACACAGGCAACACUCGCAGAUUAUUACGACAGCAAACAAUGGUGAGAAAGCUUGAUUCUUUCCAUUUCGGGGGUCUUAAGCACCGUGUGAGGGGGAUUUUCACCCAGUGAGGAGAUCACAGGUAUUAGCAUUCAUGCCACACUGGAACAGGUCGACGACCAUAUUUGGAAAUGCAACUCACUACUCAGAGCUGACAACACAACUUGUUAUUUUUGCUUGUUUCUUUUUUCAUUUGUGCUCGGUUAGUAGAGUGCGUGAUUUUAUUUUGCCUGGAUUUUUUUGUAUUUGUUAUUCAUGGGGGCCGGGUGCUUUCAUGCUUGCUUUGACCUGGAGUUUUUGUGUUUUGUUCAGCAUAUUUGUAUGCGUGUUUGACCAAAAAAACAAGGUCAUUCGAACUGGGUUCCAAUUUGGUUCAGAGUCCUGGUUAAGGUUAGCCGUCUUAGGUUUUGGGGGAGAGGCUGGGAAAGGAUUAUGGCCGUGAGAGGUCCCCACACAGGGCAGUGAUACAAGUGUGUAUGUUUGUUCCUCUGUGCUUCUCUUGGAGAUUAUUUUUUAGGUAUGCUAAUGCUUGGUGUGCAUGUUGAGGGUUGUAGCAGCGUGUCUGUUCUUGCGAAUGACUGUUUGUUUCCACUGGGCUGUGUGUGUUUCUGCAUACGCUCAGACAUGUGAAAGUUAUUUGUGUUUCGGUCUCUGAGGUUUUGUCUUUCCCUCAAAACACACAUUAGCCAAACAGCUUCAUCUCUGCUGCACACAAACCUUCGUCCCAUUUUUGAAAAGUGUGACCACUAUUCCCCAAAUAUUAUCUUCACACAGCAGCAGGCUGAUCUUCAAAGUGUCCCCAGUAAGCUGCGGUGAAGAGUUUUGUCGCUCGCUGACAGGUGAGGCAGUUUCUGUUGAAGGUAGCUGGUGUGACGCCGCUGCAUCAAUCAUCUGCUCUGAAGCCGUCAGAAAACAAUUAGGUGACUGGGCAGCUGACCAACCAGCAGCAGGAGCUUCACUGUUGGAAGAGCGUCAGUGCUCGCACUCGCCAUCCAAUGGUUAGUCACAUGCACGCGACAUUUGCGAGCUGAACGUGGGCUUCUCUUCCUGAAGCAACAAAAAGGGGUCUCCCACUUCAGCACCUCUCCAGUGAGGUGUCCAGGGCUCUUCCUGCACAGCACCUCAACCCUAUUUUGAGUCUUCAGACGUGGUUGCUGCAAGGGCCAAGCGUCUGUCUGGGUUUACAAGUGAGGGAAGGAUGUUGGAGGCCACAGCACACUGGAGAGGUGGCAUCCCUCCCUUGACCUGGGCGCACCGUGGCGUCCCUCUGGAAGAGCUGAACAAGCCUUAAAGGUCUUUCAUAACAAAGCAGCAGUUCAGCAAGAUGUGCUAAUCCAUUUCAUCCCUUCGAUCAAAGCAAAACAUACUUUUCUCUCCUGCAAAGCUUCACAUGGACAAUUCUCUCGCUGUGUUUGCCUGUGCUUAAUGCGCCUGAGCAGAGAGUCUGCUGCUUCAUUACUGUAAAAUAUUGCUGAAUUAUAUUUGAAAUCCCCCACCUCAGUCUCCAGCACAGCGCACCCUCCUGUAUAUUUUGGCAAAGCCGUUUUACGCUCACCAUCAUCCUGCAUCGCCCCUAAUUACAACAUCUGUGAUCAAUUUGUGCCGAUGUUUUUGCGUCCAAUUACUCGCUGAAACGAGUCCCCACAGUCCUGUCGCAGAAAGAAGCUUCCAGAGUCUGGAUCGUUUAUCCAGAGGGUCGGCGUGCCGGAAACACGCCGACUCAUUGUCUCAUCUAAUCCCACAUUUAUUGUCCUAAUUCAACUCUCUAUCUGCUCUGAUAACAGGCUGAGUAUUAUGGUUCUUCCUGGUCCGUCCCCGCGUCGCAGAGCCGGCGGCGCUGGCCAAACAGCGCAGAAGAAUCUGUUCAUCCUGGGAGCACCAUGCAGAGAUGAAUUGACCAAUUAUUCAGCAGUGUCGCCGCCAGCGUGUGAGGCGUGGCGGCCAGUCGAGUUCAGAAAGGCAGCGGUGGUGCAGAAUAACAACAGCAGUGGGUCUUUGUCCAACGCUGACUCAGCAGAGCGCAGGUCAGUCUUGUUAUGGAGACACGACAAGAACACAAAAGACCGUCUGAAGAACAAGAGACGGAGGCUUUGAAUGGAUUAAGGGAAGGACAUCGGAGGGCAGGGAGGUGCUGCCGGCUGCGACCUGCCACUGAAUAUCUCAACAGCAUCCUGGUGAGACUCAGCCUCACAGCAAGGUUGCUGGUUUGAGGUGAACCACUCGUGAGAUGGAGUUGUCUUUAGGAGUGUGAGUGUGUGAGAGAGAGCGGUGUCUGUGAUUUCAGGUGGAACUUCUGGUGGUGGAUCUGGGCCGAACGAAAGAGUCGUCAUGAAAAGAUGUCUAUUGACACAAACUAACAUCAACCUGUACAAUUUCUGAUGGCCGUGAAGACCUGGUCUCACUGGAUGUUGAGGGGCGAGGUUGAGAGGAUGGCAGUGAGAGAACAAACCUGUAACAUUCCAAAUAUGAGCGGCAGCGUGACAGCUCCUCGCUCAGACCUCAUUCCAGAAACAUUGUCCCACGCUGGAGCCUCCAGGUGGUGUUGGUUAGGUUAUGUGGUUCCCCUUUCAAAACAAUGCAGACUGCUGCUUUAGCGGAUGUGAGCUUGCAGACAGCUGUCAUCCCGGCCCUCGUAUUCAUAGAAGUGAAGUCACAUUUGGUAACUCAGCAUUAAUCUUUCUGUCUGGACUAAUAAAACCUUCUAUAAAGCCAGAACGGGUGUCGAUAACAGACGUCUGGAGCAUUUGAUUCACUUUAAAUCAGAUCUCUGAGUGGCUGUUUGUCCUGUCGCGCGACGCUCAGCAGGAGCCUUAUGAGAAUGAUGGAGAUCCCGAUCUGCUGCUCGUAACUCACCAGCUCCUUGACAUGUUAAUAUUGCUUCCCUCCGACCGGCAGCAGGUGCAGGAAUCCUCCCAGCAUGUGAAAUUGACACAAAUGUUUUCAGAUGACAUUCACAACUGUUCCCUGAAACUGCCAUCCAGUGACACGUGCCAGAUCUCCUCGCUCCAGCGCACAACUUAAUCUGGGAGAAGGUGCCUGAUAACGCUGCUCUUCCUGCGGAGGCAGCUUUAUAAAGAACACGUGACAGCAUUGUGGCAGCACUUCUGGAAACAUGCUGAAUUAUAAAGCAGGAGUGGAGUCGGGGGUUCGAACCCCUGUGAGGUAGCCACUGUUGGUCCUGGCUUGUGCAGCAGUGGUGCCAGUGGCUUUUCUUGCGUCCUGUGGUGAGGCCAUCUUGUCAUCAUUUUCGGGACUAACCUGGCUCGGAUGAGAAGCCUGCUCAUGCAAAGGUGCAGAAAGGCUUCGUAUCUUGACUUUCAUCCAUCCCCUCCUUUCUUGAAGCCGCAGUAGGUGGGACCCCCGGAUCUUCUCAACCGGUCCUCUGACGCCGCCGUGUUGCUCCACCAUCAGGAUCUCAUCUUUAUUAAUCGUCUGACACCCUGGCAGAGCUGCCAGCUCCAGCUCAGCCUCCACAGGGAGGAGAUUUGUUUGGACUUUUAAUUAUCUGUCUCUGAUUCCAAAAUGAGUUUUCUCUUUGAACAGCAAAACUAAUAAUAACAACAAUAGGCAGUGACGAAUCUGGGGAGAGUUGAAGUCCCUGCAAGAGACAAAUUGUUGAAAUAUCUCAACCAAGUGAGAUUUCUUGAAAAGACGGAAGACAAAUGAAAACACUUGUAAGAUAAUCGAAGCUCACAAAAGCUCUUAAUCGUUUCUCAGCCAUCGCUCAUGGAGCGGUGAUGUGCUGGUGCCACCAGACGAGGCAGUGUUACACACCUCGAGCCAUUUCUCAGCUUUCAUGUGACAGAUAAAGCAGUGAAACACUUCAUACAGUGGAAUAUGGUUCCUGUUCUUCCUGUGGAUGGAACAGAGGAGGCGCUGUGUUGGUUUGCACAGUGAGCGGGGGCCAUGUUUGCUUGUGUCUUGCAUCAGGUUCUUUAAAUUCAAGGCUGACCGUUCUCCACAGGCGAGGCCCCAAAGGUGAUCUUGCCUGGGGCCCAUGUCCUGCUCUCCAAGCCUUAUGAGCUACACCAUUCAAACUUCAUCUGUGGUGGUGGACCAACACAAGCGUGUGACAUCAGCUGGACCGCUGAAAUGCUCCCUCAGCAUUGUCGCAUGCUAAAUAAUCUGGAGAGCUGCGCUACAGCUGCUCCAUGUCGAGGACCCUCUGUGCCAGCGGCUUGGUGGAGAGCUAUAAAUCAGCCUUUAAUAUUUAAAUUUGGGGAGAAGAAAGAGACACAGACUCUUUAAGUCGUCUUUGCCUCCAACUUACUUACCGCCUCGCGCUAACGCCAACACCCAGGCCCUCCUUCAUCACUCGGCGUUGCACCGCGAACAGUGUGCACUGCAUAAAUCAUGGAAUGCAGACAGGAAACCUCAGGUUGGAAUUCCUUGCAAAACUAUUCAGAAACAGCAGGAUGGAUGUUUACGAUGGCAGAAGGGAACACUUCACAGACAGCAACGUCCAACACACACUGAGAGACAGAUAUAGACGACAGUCUCCGCGGAUUUUCUCGCCGCUGCAAAGUUUUGAGGCCCUAAAAGUUAGGUGUACGAUGCUUGAGGCAUUCAGACUUGUCGUGUUGGUUGUGACGUUUUGGUGUCUGUGGUCAAGAGCCGAAGUCUCCAGACAGGGGUGAUUCCCGGAUGACGCCAACAGCGUCGUCAUGGCAGCCAGAUUCCUGACAGGAGUUAUUGGUCAGUCGCAGCCUCUUCGACAGGAUAAAGCUUGCGGACACCAUGAAAUAAUCUCCUGGCUGGGUGGUAGAACUCAAUGGUGCCAGGCGGAGGUCACGGCAGCUCUAAACAAAUGCUAGGGAGUGACCGUGCAUUUAAAGUUUCUCGUCUGUGAGACUUGGAGCGGAUAAAGAGUGACUUGUUUUUUAGCUAGUUGAGGAUUCAAGCGGCGACGCCAGACAGCAGUAGUUGGAUUUAUUCGUCUCCCAUCUGAAUGUUUAUUAAACUUUACAGUAGACUGGAAGAACUUUUAUUGCCAACAUGCAAACCAACAAUUUGAGCGGAACUUUAUUUGAAGAGUGAAGAAUUGAGUUAUUGGUGAGGCUAGAUGAGAGUGAGUGGCAUCCAAUCGAUCUCUCCAGAUUCACUCCCUCACACUCUCUGAGGACGAACAUUGAUAUUCGAAGAGAAAAGGACGGACAGAUGGACGUUUAACUCUGCGCGCUGUGCGGAGACCCGGCCGUGCGCCUGCUGCGGCCUGCUUCUGGCAGGAUGGUCUUGUUGCGCAGCAGGUUCUGUUAUUCUGCUCACAUCGCCAGGAUCAAGACCAUGGAGGAGGCUGAGGAGACUGAAAUGAGCCUCAUUUUUGGACAAUCAACAGUUGAGCUGUGCCCUCAGAGGCUUCAGGAGGCUUCAAACUGAAUCUGAAAACAACAACUCUGUUUCACUGUUCUCCGUGAGGUGCAAGUCUUAUGCAGUGACCAGUGUUGAUGUCCCACAUGUGCAGACUGUCAUUGAGUAUGUUAAAAAUCAUGAGAGACGUAUUAAAGUUAAAAAAGGAAAUAAGUCAUUCUCAGUUUGCAUAAAUGCACUGUAAUUACACAUAACUACAGAAGAAAUUUGUCACGAAUUUAUAUUGUGAAACUCAUCGAAAAUGGGUGACUGCAAAAUUGUGAAACAUUUUAAUCUGAACCUAGUUUAAUUAACAAAAGAAGAAAAAAAAUCAUUAGUUUUGACACGUUCAUCCAAAGUUUUUUUUUUUUUUUUUUACAUUUAAUCUUGUAUACCAGAAGGUAAACUGUCAUGUCAGGCCGCAGCGAAGACUCGUAGACGCGGUGCAGUGUCGGUGGUUUUGACAGCUUUCAGACGAACCUGUGCAACACGCUGCUCAGCCAAUCAGCUCAGUCGAGCCAUGUCAGCUGACUGCAAUCACCUGCAGCUGCUUCGAACGUGAAACCGCGACAAGAAAAGCAGCGUCUUUGGUUCUGAAGUGAAGGCAGAGUCCCUCCCGUGGGUUGGGCUGCUGUUGCUGGCCGUCAGUCACAGUCGCUGCUCUGCUGGAGACCAAACAUUGAUUCAGCUGCUCAAACAAAGUAUCAAAUGAGCCUCCAUGUGAUGGUGUGGCAUGUCAGCGGUGCUGCAGCAGAGAAGACUGAAGGAGACGGGACCCUCAGCCUCACCAACACAUGAUGCAGAAGGAGCACAGCAGACCCCUCCCCCCUUUCACCCUGGCCCUGGACCACCUGGCUGAGGAGCACCUCUCUGCUGGUUGUUUGUAACUGUGCCUCAUGAUGUCUCUUCAGAUACGGUGGUUGGAGUGUUAUUUUUGCGUGUUUGUUUUUAUGCGACUGUAACUGUCCUUUGAAUCCUUGAAGAUUGUUGAAUAACACGUGAGGAUGCAGGUACUUUGUCUGGCACUAACUAUUUAUUUAUUAGUUCUAUUUAUUUUAUUUUUUAUGAUGUUUCUGUUCAUUGCAUACUAUUUCAAAGCACUUUCCUAGUUGGUGGAAUCUCACUGACCUUGGCAAUAAAGCUGAUUGUGAUUCCCCUUUUUUCUGACACAGGUACUGACCACUGCAGAAUGGAACCGCUCCAAAAGCUGCCCAGUUCGAAUUAAAACAUGACAGGUACUUGCCACUGCAGAUGGAAGACACAAGCUCAGUCGGCCAGUGUCAGCGGGAACACCAGGAAGCCGGAGAACGUGGAGUACUGCCAUCCGCCCACCAGGUUGCCCUUCUCCAGUUUCAGGUGGAGUCGGCCGAUCCAGGGUGAGAGGAACCCUGGAGUGAGGAAGAGUUGGGUCUGCUGCGCACGGUCACGUCCAAGCUCGUGUCCUGGAACUGAGCCCGACGCCUGGGCUGGAGUGAAUCCCCGGGUGUCACUCAGCUCAUUAGCCAAGGAGCACAUGAGCGGAACCGAAGCCUUCUCGUCUGUCCUCCAUCACCACGCCGUGCUGUGACGGUCAAACAAACCUUGUGCUCCAGAAUGGAGGUCACAGACCCGCCUCCGUGACGGGACUGGGUCACCUCUCCAGCGGUGGAAGGUUCAGCCGUGCUCUGUCCAGCGGUCUGAGGAGUCCAGAGAGCUGCUGCUGCUGCUGCUGCUGCUGCUGCCGCCGAGCUUCAGUGGAGCCAUCAGGCACAACCAAGGGGGCGUGGCCUGUCAGAGGCAACACAUCUGCGCUGCUCAUGUUUACAGUGCGAGUCACCUGUUGGAGCAACAUGUUGCCCCACUAGAUGGCGCCAGCGCGGCCAGCGUGAAGUUCGUGUUUCUGUGGAGAGCUGCAGGGAGGAUUCGCUGCCGAUGACAUCAUUCACACUCAGACACAUCAUACUCCAGCGACACUCAGGGUGUGAGACAGAGGAGCCGUUCAUCAGACUCUGCAGAUCCCAGGUGGUGGGGGCAGCAGCUGCAGCAAAGAGGUCCAGACUUUCACUCUCCACUGAAGACUCCUCAGCUGUGGAAACAGACCAGAGUCACCAUCUACUCAUACAUGUCCUUGCACUCUUCUGAAGUCCUGGAUAAAGUCACAGACGCACAUGAAGAGGCCCUGCGACUCCUGCUCAGUGCUCUCUCCAAACUUGAGCUGUGAGAUAAGACAUGGAGUCAGAAUUUGAUCUUUACUGUCAAUACAACUGCAGCGUCACCACUUGCUGGUUGGCUCUUCACUCCUGCACAAAUAAAA
Long non-coding RNA from Synchiropus splendidus (mandarinfish), 8153 nucleotides. RefSeq lists it as uncharacterized. The transcript has 15 exons. The record is from RefSeq and is a predicted model, not a curated record. NCBI's taxonomy places the organism in Eukaryota, Metazoa, Chordata, Actinopteri, Syngnathiformes, Callionymidae.